This 163-nucleotide ribosomal RNA is filed under the name Talisia angustifolia. RNAcentral's name for it is "5.8S ribosomal RNA". It matches the Rfam family "5.8S ribosomal RNA". From Rfam's summary of the family: 5.8S ribosomal RNA (5.8S rRNA) is a component of the large subunit of the eukaryotic ribosome. RNAcentral also lists the same sequence under 1 other name. Lineage: Eukaryota; Viridiplantae; Streptophyta; Magnoliopsida; Sapindales; Sapindaceae. The record is from RNAcentral.
AUAACGACUCUCGGCAACGGAUAUCUCGGCUCUCGCAUCGAUGAAGAACGUAGCGAAAUGCGAUACUUGGUGUGAAUUGCAGAAUCCCGUGAACCAUCGAGUCUUUGAACGCAAGUUGCGCCUUAGGCCUUUAAGCCGAGGGCACGUCUGCCUGGGUGUCACG